Molecule: small nuclear RNA, 68 nt
Filed under: Ailuropoda melanoleuca (giant panda)
Lineage: Eukaryota; Metazoa; Chordata; Mammalia; Carnivora; Ursidae
Source: RNAcentral
CUAAUGGGACAUAAUCAAAAAAAUUAAAGCUGGAACAAUACAGAGAAGAUUAGCAUGGCCCCUGCGCA